This is a long non-coding RNA of Paramisgurnus dabryanus, 605 nucleotides long. RefSeq lists it as uncharacterized. NCBI's taxonomy places the organism in Eukaryota, Metazoa, Chordata, Actinopteri, Cypriniformes, Cobitidae. The record is from RefSeq and is a predicted model, not a curated record.
GCGUACUGUGGCCUUUAUCGUCAUGCUGCGGCGUUUGAGUAGACGGAAACCAUGCUUCUAAAAAUGUGUCUAGGCGGGAAUGAUUUAUCUGCUGCAUGGGAUCCGCAGCAGUUGCAAGGUAUCUGAUGCCAACAGUUGACAGCCAAUGGGAUUUCAAGUGUGGAUUUGAAGUCAUUGUAGGAAGAAAAUGUCUCGCGCAUCCUUCCACAGAUAUUCUGCAAGUGGGGAUUUGAAGUCACUAUAGGAGCAUCCUCCUACAGCUUUCAAAAAUGGACAUUCUCUUCAAAGAUUUCAAGUGAGGAUUUGAAGUCACUAGGAAGAUGUUUUGAGCAUCCAUCUACAGGUUAACAGAUGGAGAGGUUAACCCAAUGAUGCCUGGAUGCCUGUCUCGUAUGCAUGGGUGAAUAAUAAGGCUUGUGACUGAAGUUGAAGCCAUGGCUGAGGAGGUGUGGUGAUCAAAAUGCUGCAAUGUUAAUCUACUGUAUAACAUUGUGUACUGUUUUAGUCCAACCAUUUAAUUUUAAGAACAAAGUCUGAACAUUGAGAUUUAACGUUAUGAAAAGUUAUAUUUUUUGAUCUUGUCAUGUAUAAAUAUUUUUUGUUAA